RNAcentral lists this ribosomal RNA (1227 nucleotides) under Escherichia coli. Its description in RNAcentral is "partial 23S ribosomal RNA". It matches the Rfam family "Bacterial large subunit ribosomal RNA", at positions 1 to 1268 of the family's 2925-position model. Lineage: Bacteria; Pseudomonadati; Pseudomonadota; Gammaproteobacteria; Enterobacterales; Enterobacteriaceae. The record is from RNAcentral.
GGUUAAGCGACUAAGCGUACACGGUGGAUGCCUUGGCAGUCAGAGGCGAUGAAGGACGUGCUAAUCUGCGAUAAGCGUCGGUAAGGUGAUAUGAACCGUUAUAACCGGCGAUUUCCGAAUGGGGAAACCCAGUGUGUUUCGACACACUAUCAUUAACUGAAUCCAUAGGUUAAUGAGGCGAACCGGGGGAACUGAAACAUCUAAGUACCCCGAGGAAAAGAAAUCAACCGAGAUUCCCCCAGUAGCGGCGAGCGAACGGGGAGCAGCCCAGAGCCUGAAUCAGUGUGUGUGUUAGUGGAAGCGUCUGGAAAGGCGCGCGAUACAGGGUGACAGCCCCGUACACAAAAAUGCACAUGCUGUGAGCUCGAUGAGUAGGGCGGGACACGUGGUAUCCUGUCUGAAUAUGGGGGGACCAUCCUCCAAGGCUAAAUACUCCUGACUGACCGAUAGUGAACCAGUACCGUGAGGGAAAGGCGAAAAGAACCCCGGCGAGGGGAGUGAAAAAGAACCUGAAACCGUGUACGUACAAGCAGUGGGAGCACGCUUAGGCGUGUGACUGCGUACCUUUUGUAUAAUGGGUCAGCGACUUAUAUUCUGUAGCAAGGUUAACCGAAUAGGGGAGCCGAAGGGAAACCGAGUCUUAACUGGGCGUUAAGUUGCAGGGUAUAGACCCGAAACCCGGUGAUCUAGCCAUGGGCAGGUUGAAGGUUGGGUAACACUAACUGGAGGACCGAACCGACUAAUGUUGAAAAAUUAGCGGAUGACUUGUGGCUGGGGGUGAAAGGCCAAUCAAACCGGGAGAUAGCUGGUUCUCCCCGAAAGCUAUUUAGGUAGCGCCUCGUGAAUUCAUCUCCGGGGGUAGAGCACUGUUUCGGCAAGGGGGUCAUCCCGACUUACCAACCCGAUGCAAACUGCGAAUACCGGAGAAUGUUAUCACGGGAGACACACGGCGGGUGCUAACGUCCGUCGUGAAGAGGGAAACAACCCAGACCGCCAGCUAAGGUCCCAAAGUCAUGGUUAAGUGGGAAACGAUGUGGGAAGGCCCAGACAGCCAGGAUGUUGGCUUAGAAGCAGCCAUCAUUUAAAGAAAGCGUAAUAGCUCACUGGUCGAGUCGGCCUGCGCGGAAGAUGUAACGGGGCUAAACCAUGCACCGAAGCUGCGGCAGCGACACUAUGUGUUGUUGGGUAGGGGAGCGUUCUGUAAGCCUGUGAAGGUGUACUGUGAGG